Molecule: ribosomal RNA, 799 nt
Filed under: uncultured Glomeromycotina
Lineage: Eukaryota; Fungi; Glomeromycota
Description: SSU rRNA
Rfam family: Eukaryotic small subunit ribosomal RNA
Source: RNAcentral
AUCAACUUUCGAUGGUAGGAUAGAGGCCUACCAUGGUGGUAACGGGUAACGGGGUGUUAGGGCACGACACCGGAGAGGGAGCCUGAGAAACGGCUACCACAUCCAAGGAUGGCAGCAGGCGCGCAAAUUACCCAAUCCCGACACGGGGAGGUAGUGACAAUAAAUAACAAUACGGGGUUCUUUCGGAUUUCGUAAUUGGAAUGAGUACAAUUUAAAUCUCUUAACGAGGAACAAUUGGAGGGCAAGUCUGGUGCCAGCAGCCGCGGUAAUUCCAGCUCCAAUAGCGUAUAUUAAAGUUGUUGCAGUUAAAAAGCUCGUAGUUGAAUUUCGGGGUCAGCAAGUUGGUCGUGCCACUGGUAUGUACUGGCUUUGCUGAUUCCUCCUUCUUGUAGAACCGUAAUGCCAUUAAUUUGGUGUUGCGGGGAAACAGGACUGUUACUUUGAAAAAAUUAGAGUGUUUAAAGCAGGCUAACGCUUGAAUACAUUAGCAUGGAAUAAUGAAAUAGGACGUUUGAUCCUAUUUUGUUGGUUUCUAGGAUUGACGUAAUGAUUAAUAGGGAUAGUUGGGGGCAUUAGUAUUCAAUUGUCAGAGGUGAAAUUCUUGGAUUUAUUGAAGACUAACUACUGCGAAAGCAUUUGCCAAGGAUGUUUUCAUUAAUCAAGAACGAAAGUUAGGGGAUCGAAGACGAUCAGAUACCGUCGUAGUCUUAACCAUAAACUAUGCCGACUAGGGAUCGGAUGAUGUUAAUUUUUUAAUGACUCAUUCGGCGCCUUACGGGAAACCAAAGUGUUUGGGUUC